This 945-nucleotide long non-coding RNA is filed under the name Bos indicus x Bos taurus (hybrid cattle). Its description in RNAcentral is "lncRNA (ENSBIXG00000007862.1)". Lineage: Eukaryota; Metazoa; Chordata; Mammalia; Artiodactyla; Bovidae. The record is from RNAcentral.
GAGCAUUACUUAAACAUUUUAAAUACAUCUUUUGAGGGAACACAUAUUGAAGUCAUCUUUGCCUUCUAUUGGAGUGGACCCUGAAAUAAAUAAGGGGUAGAAUACUUGUUGCUGUGUUGUACCUGGGGAUACAGAGACUGAAUCAUGUGGCUGGUGAAUAUUUCCUCUUGAUGUGCUGCUUGAAUAUAUAAAGAUACCAAAUUGAAAGUUACUUAUAUUCAAAGAGUAUUCUCUUGCUUGUCCUUUAAGUGCCUCACCUUUUCAUUUAUCCUCAAUAUAUUUAAGACAUUCUAUCAAUUUCCAACUAUUGUUAUGAAAUAACUGUAUCAAACUGUAGCUGGAUAUUCUAGUCUUAUCUUUUAGUUUGUCCUCUGUCUUUGGGGCUAAUAGCUCAGUAUCUUAGAAAUUCAGCAGCACAUACAUGGCAUAAACAGCCUUCUUAUGUCUUACACUGGAAGAGAUUGUUUUGAACUUUUUAUUACAAAAUAAAAAUCCAAUUGACUCUUCUUAAUGUACUAACGUGUUUACAAACUUGGGGGCUAUUUAGAAAGUGAUAUAAAUUCUUUCACAUGAUCUGAAUAUUGGUACAAAUGACGUUCAGAACAUUCCCUAUUAUAAAGACCUACAGUUUGUACAAGUAGAAUCUUUCCAUUAAACAGUCUCAGUUUCCUUAAAGUUGUUUUCUUUUCCUUUUCUUAAGUUCAGCCUUUAAUUUGUUUAUUUCAAUUUUCUUUUUCAGGAAAUAUAACCAAGAAGAGUUCUGAGAGAAUAUCCUCAUUUGUCCUUCUGGGAUUAAACAAGAAUACUGUAUUUUUGCCAGCAUUCUCCCCUUCAAGUGCAAUAACAACUCUGGAAUCACCGAAGUGAUGAGCACCAAAUAGAUACUUACAUUUUCCCAAGAUUACAGUUGGGUUUUGUAUAUGUUAGCUUGGAAUGUCUGAGAAA